UUGAACGCUGGCGGCAUGCUUUACACAUGCAAGUCGAACGGUAACAGGCCUUCGGGUGCUGACGAGUGGCGAACGGGUGAGUAAUGCAUCGGAACGUGCCCAAUCGUGGGGGAUAACGUAGCGAAAGUUACGCUAAUACCGCAUACGCCCUGAGGGGGAAAGCAGGGGAUCUUCGGACCUUGUGCGAGUGGAGCGGCCGAUGUCAGAUUAGCUAGUUGGUGGGGUAAAGGCCCACCAAGGCGACGAUCUGUAGCGGGUCUGAGAGGAUGAUCCGCCACACUGGGACUGAGACACGGUCCAGACUCCUACGGGAGGCAGCAGUGGGGAAUUUUGGACAAUGGGGGAAACCCUGAUCCAGCCAUUCCGCGUGAGUGAAGAAGGCCUUCGGGUUGUAAAGCUCUUUCGGCAGGAACGAAACGGCGGAUACUAAUAUUAUCCGUUACUGACGGUACCUGAAGAAGAAGCACCGGCUAACUACGU
RNAcentral lists this ribosomal RNA (480 nucleotides) under uncultured bacterium. Its description in RNAcentral is "bacterial SSU rRNA". It matches the Rfam family "Bacterial small subunit ribosomal RNA", at positions 30 to 506 of the family's 1533-position model. The record is from RNAcentral.